Molecule: ribosomal RNA, 1382 nt
Filed under: Chaetothyriales sp. CN-Phe1-1
Lineage: Eukaryota; Fungi; Ascomycota; Eurotiomycetes; Chaetothyriales
Description: eukaryotic LSU rRNA
Rfam family: Eukaryotic large subunit ribosomal RNA
Source: RNAcentral
UUGACCUCGGAUCAGGUAGGAAUACCCGCUGAACUUAAGCAUAUCAAUAAGCGGAGGAAAAGAAACCAACAGGGAUUGCCUCAGUAACGGCGAGUGAAGCGGCAACAGCUCAAAUUUGAAAUCUGGCCUUUACGGUCCGAGUUGUAAUUUGUAGAGGAUGUUUUGGGCACCGCUCCGGGUUAAAUUUCUUGGAACAGAAUGUCAAAGAGGGUGAGAGUCCCGUCUUGGCCCGCGGUAGGACCUAUGUAAAACUCCUUCGACGAGUCGACUUGUUUGGGAAUGCAGGUCCAAAUGGGUGGUAAAUUUCAUCUAAAGCUAAAUAUUGGCCAGAGACCGAUAGCGCACAAGUAGAGUGAUCGAAAGAUGAAAAGCACUUUGAAAAGAGAGUUAAACAGUAUGUGAAAUUGUUGAAAGGGAAGCGCUGGCAACCAGACUCGAGCGCGGUGUUCCCCUUGGCUUCUGCCUUGGUUAUUUCACCGUGACCGGGCCAUCAUCAGUUUUGGGGGUUGGUUAAAGAUCUAGGGAAUGUAUCCUCUCUUUCGGGGGAGGACUUAUAGCCCUGGAUGUCAUGCAGCCUCCCGGGACUGAGGAACGCGCUUCGGCGAGGAUGAUGGCGUAAUGGUUGUCAGCGACCCGUCUUGAAACACGGACCAAGGAGUCUAACAUCUAUGCGAGUGUUCGGGUGUCAAACCCUUGCGCGGAAUGAAAGUGAACGGAGGUAGGAAGGCCUGAGCCUGCACUAUCGACCGAUCCUGAUGUCUUCGGAUGGAUUUGAGUAAGAGCAUAGCUGUUGGGACCCGAAAGAUGGUGAACUAUGCGUGAAUAGGGUGAAGCCAGAGGAAACUCUGGUGGAGGCUCGCAGCGGUUCUGACGUGCAAAUCGAUCGUCAAAUUUGCGUAUAGGGGCGAAAGACUAAUCGAACCAUUGGUAAAUCACUACUAGGUGGUUAAGAGUCAAGUGUGAAAAGCACUGGCUAGUCGUGGGUCCACGGCAAGGUCGUCAAAUUGCGGGAACACCCUAAAGCCUGAGGUACCGCCGAACCGUCCCGAAAGGGCGACCGGCACCACGGAGAGAUUUCGUGGGUAUGGUAACAAUCCAAAGGAUGGUCCAGGUCAAGUCCUGGGCCGCUGUAAUGGGCAAUCCGCAGCCAAGCCUGUUUCCCCCCGUGGUAUGGGGGGGAGAUUGGGUGCAGUUCAUCGACUAGAUGUCGACCGGGUUCUGGGCUUGUUCCCACAAGUCCAGGGCCUCAAGAUAUAGUCAGGCCCCCGGGGAGACCCGGGCGAGGGGAUGAAGUAGGGAGGAUUGGCCCCCGGUACCACGUCCACCAGACGUGACGGUCCUGCCUACCCGAAUCCCUUUGGCCGGUUCCAUUGGACCGGUGA